This 521-nucleotide ribosomal RNA is filed under the name uncultured bacterium. RNAcentral's name for it is "bacterial SSU rRNA". It matches the Rfam family "Bacterial small subunit ribosomal RNA", at positions 776 to 1297 of the family's 1533-position model. The record is from RNAcentral.
AAUUAGAUACCCAGGUAGUCCACGCCGUAAACGAUGUCGACUUGGAGGUUGUUCCCUUGAGGAGUGGCUUCCGGAGCUAACGCGUUAAGUCGACCGCCUGGGGAGUACGGCCGCAAGGUUAAAACUCAAAUGAAUUGACGGGGGCCCGCACAAGCGGUGGAGCAUGUGGUUUAAUUCGAUGCAACGCGAAGAACCUUACCUACUCUUGACAUCCAGAGAACUUAGCAGAGAUGCUUUGGUGCCUUCGGGAACUCUGAGACAGGUGCUGCAUGGCUGUCGUCAGCUCGUGUUGUGAAAUGUUGGGUUAAGUCCCGCAACGAGCGCAACCCUUAUCCUUUGUUGCCAGCGGUCCGGCCGGGAACUCAAAGGAGACUGCCAGUGAUAAACUGGAGGAAGGUGGGGAUGACGUCAAGUCAUCAUGGCCCCUACGAGUAGGGCUACACACGUGCUACAAUGGCGCAUACAAAGAGAAGCGACCUCGCGAGAGCAAGCGGACCUCAUAAAGUGCGUCGUAGUCCGGA